UACGUAGGGUGCGAGCGUUGUCCGGAAUUACUGGGCGUAAAGGGCUUGUAGGUGGUUUGUCGCGUUGUUCGUGAAAUCCCGUGGCUUAACUGUGGGCGUGCGGUCGAUACGGGCAUCACUGGAGUUCGGCAGGGGAGACUGGAAUUCCUGGUGUAGCGGUGAAAUGCGCAGAUAUCAGGAGGAACACCGGUGGCGAAGGCGGGUCUCUGGGCCGAUACUGACGCUGAGACGCGAAAGCGUGGGGAGCGAACAGG
RNAcentral lists this ribosomal RNA (254 nucleotides) under uncultured bacterium. Its description in RNAcentral is "partial 16S ribosomal RNA". It matches the Rfam family "Bacterial small subunit ribosomal RNA", at positions 524 to 776 of the family's 1533-position model. The record is from RNAcentral.